This 497-nucleotide ribosomal RNA is filed under the name uncultured bacterium. RNAcentral describes it as "partial 16S ribosomal RNA". It matches the Rfam family "Bacterial small subunit ribosomal RNA", at positions 28 to 507 of the family's 1533-position model. The record is from RNAcentral.
GAUGAACGCUGGCGGCGUGCCUAAUACAUGCAAGUCGAGCGAACAGACGAGGAGCUUGCUCCUCUGACGUUAGCGGCGGACGGGUGAGUAACACGUGUAUAACCUACCUAUAAGACUGGGAUAACUUCGGGAAACCGGCGCUAAUACCGGAUAAUAUAUUGAACCGCAUGGUUCAAUAGUGAAAGACGGUUUUGCUGUCACUUAUAGAUGGAUCCGCGCCGCAUUAGCUAGUUGGUAAGGUAACGGCUUACCAAGGCAACGAUGCGUAGCCGACCUGAGAGGGUGAUCGGCCACACUGGAACUGAGACACGGUCCAGACUCCUACGGGAGGCAGCAGUAGGGAAUCUUCCGCAAUGGGCGAAAGCCUGACGGAGCAACGCCGCGUGAGUGAUGAAGGUCUUCGGAUCGUAAAACUCUGUUAUUAGGGAAGAACAAAUGUGUAAGUAACUAUGCACGUCUUGACGGUACCUAAUCAGAAAGCCACGGCUAACUACGUG